UGACUUUCAUCGUGAUAGGAUUCUUGAC
Molecule: non-coding RNA, 28 nt
Filed under: Rattus norvegicus (Norway rat)
Lineage: Eukaryota; Metazoa; Chordata; Mammalia; Rodentia; Muridae
Source: RNAcentral